This is a long non-coding RNA of Homo sapiens (human), 880 nucleotides long. RefSeq lists it as uncharacterized. The transcript is spliced from 4 exons. The record is from RefSeq and is a predicted model, not a curated record. Lineage: Eukaryota; Metazoa; Chordata; Mammalia; Primates; Hominidae.
CAACAAACUGGAAGGAAAAAGAAAUCUUUUAUUUCAAGUUCAUCGACUAUCCACAACAUACAAUUUAUUGGUUAACAAUAGUUGAAAGAAUCCAACAGAAUUUGGAAUCUAUGAUGAAAGACAGCUCAGUAAACCAGCUAAUGAUUGGAAACACAGGUCUAGCUUCAUUCCAUUAGCAGUAAAAGGACUUUAGAUGUUUGAAUCUCUAUGUUGGCCCUAAUGGAGUUUGAUUAAACUGGAGUGACCCUACCAGAGGAGAAUAAUCUUCAUUAUUCUUCAUUACUAGCUAAUCUGGCUAGUAAACAUAAAAAGGUGAAGGCCCUACAGUUUUGUAAGGCCCACGCUGCCACUGGAGUGUAGAAAGCCCUAAUGCUUCAAUGCUGUUCACUUCCAAAGUAUGCAUCUGUUAAGGACACAGCCAGUACACCUGUCGGGAACUCUACUACUUUAUGAAUCUACAGAUGCAAUAAAGCGAGGAAAGCUGAAGGCUGGCUCUGCAGCAAAAAUGAUACUCAUGGUCAAUAAGCCUGUGAUCAACUACAGGUGCUUACUAUGUGCCAAGACCUUUGCUUGGUGCUUCUCAUGCAGAAUAUUAUUUAACUGCCACAAAAGUCCUAUAGUAUACGUAUGAUAUCACCGUUUUGCAAAUUGUGAGUCUGUAACUAUGAGAGGUAGAGUGACUUCCUCAAGCUGGUGUUUAAUCCUGUAUCAGUCAAUAUAAGAAACAGGCUGCUUAAAGUCAAUGCAGUGCUUUUACUUUAUCACACAAAAGCUCCUUUUAAAUAUGAGAAAUUAUAGGAAUUUAUUUAUCUUCCCUCCCUGGUAUAAAUAAAUACCAUGGUAUAAGUAAUAAAUAAAUGCAAAUAUUCUGGCUCUAAAA